GGUUCAUUGGGGAACACCAAAAAAGUGGAGAACCGGGGAACACCCUUGGAUUAAGUUAAUCAAUGGUUAAGAUUAGAUUAGAUUUGUAAGGUUUAAAAAACACGGAGGGGCAUAUUUGGAAUUUAUGAAAAGUUUUAAUUAGGUCGCUGGAGAGUAUUACGUAGUUCGCCGGAGAACUCAACCCUCUGCCACACGACACCCACUGAUUCUUUGCUUCCGGCUUCCAAUUCCGUCUCUUUCCGGCGGUUCAGAGAUAAUCGGAUAUGUUAAUUCUGAUUUCGAUCUCGAUCUCCUUCCGGCUGUUUGAAAGAUGCUUAGAUUUGUUAAUUCUGAUUCCGACAUUGUUCCGGCGGUUUAAGAGAUGAUCAGAUCUGUUAAUUUUGAUUCCGAUUUUGUUCCAGCGGUUUCAAAGAUGAACAGAUCUGUUAGUUCUUCCAUUGUUGGUGCUUAAGAUGAUCAGGUCUGUUAAUUCUAUGCUUAGUGCGUGAUUAAGUGAUUAGAUUCAUUCGUACGUUGAUAUACAGGUAUUCACCGACGAUGAUCUAGAUUUUAGUUAGUUUUUUCAAGUGAAAUUCGUGUUGUGGCUCAUUGAUCUGAAAUAUUCUUGUUAGAUCUGAAGUGAAUUUUUAACAUGUUAAUUGAUAUUUUUAUUCUCAACAUAGACUACAGUGGCUUUAAAUGUUACUCAAGAAUCUAACAGAUCCUUGAAAGUUCAAUUCAAGCUACUUACAAAGUCUAGUACAUACAGAAACCGGAUUCAUGUGCGGGUGAGCAAAACGCUAAUUCAUUGGUUGAUUUUUAAUCGAAAACAGAUGAACUUGAGGAUAUGUUGAGAGGGAGAAGAAGAAGCAAGAAGAAAGAACCGACUGCUUACUAGAAAACUUACUCACUAGAAAGAACUGAGCCUCAAAAGCCACACACAACAACAUAUCAUCACUGCUGCUGCUCUGUUCCUUACACCAUCGUCACCUUCGAAUUCCCGUCGUCGUCAUCGUCGGCCCUGCUGCUCCGCUCGUUUCACCCAGACGACAACAACAACAGCCGUCACUGCUGCUGGUCGACCACCACCACCGCCAAUCUCGUGGUUGAGAAUAAGGGGUUUUGUCACAUGGUUCCAUCAUCCAUGCUUAGUGCAUGAAUCAAGUCCAUCUAAAGCUGCAUUAGAGUUAAUAUAUGAAAUGGUGGUUCAGGAAUCGGGUCAAAAUGUGGAUUACACCCAGGACUAUCUUAGCAAUGUAAUCCAGUUUCCUUUCUAGUGAGUAGUGACCAAGGGUACAGAGGUAGAGUUAGCCGAGAAAGCACACACGAAAUCUUGCAGAAACUUGUAGAGGUUGACUUUCUUCUCAAACUCAACAUGACCGUUACUUUCAAAAUUCCCAUUUUCAAGAAGAGGUAUCUUUCUUGAUUGGUUUCUUAGCCAUCAUUGAGGCGCUCUAUAUUGACAUUACGAGGGAUGCUCAUGUUACCAAAGAACAACAUAAACCAUAUGUUGUGGUUUUUGUGGGAGUUAAUGGAGUAGGAAAGUCUACUAAUCUUGCCAAGGCAUGAUCACCAGUCACUUUCAAUACUUCAUGUGUUUAUAAAAGAUAAAUUAAUUAGGAAUGCAAACAUGUACACGUGGUGUAGUGGCUGCAGGAGCAUGAUGUCAAUGUCAUGAUGGCUGCAUGUGACACAUUCUGUUCAGAAGCAGUUGAGCAGCUGCGUACUCAUGCACGUAGGCUCCAGAUCCCUAUUUUGGAAAAGGGUUAUGAGAAAGAUCAUGCAAUCGUUGCUAAGGAAGCAAUUCAGGAGGCUACCCGAACGGGUCAGACGUUGUUCUUAUUGACACAGCUGGUUAGAUGCAGCUUUAAAGGCAAUAAAACUAUUUAUAAUAUUGUUUUCUUCUUGUAAUUAUGUGUAUUAUGUUUUUAUUUGUGUAUAAACUUUAUGUUAUUACAAUCUGAUCUGAAUCAUGUGAAGUUUGCAUAUAUAUAAUAUUCGAUUCAGAUUAGUUGUGAUAAGUUUCUAGGGUUAAUAAAGCAAGAAUUGCGAUGUUAGAUAAA
This is a long non-coding RNA of Helianthus annuus (common sunflower), 2042 nucleotides long. RefSeq lists it as uncharacterized. The record is from RefSeq and is a predicted model, not a curated record. The transcript is spliced from 5 exons. Lineage: Eukaryota; Viridiplantae; Streptophyta; Magnoliopsida; Asterales; Asteraceae.